GCAGGCUGCGAUUGCAGCGCCCGUAGAGCCAGCAAGGGUGCAUUACUGGAGAGUAGGAAGACCCAGCCGUCUCCGUCCGGUGCCAGGUGGGACACAGCCAUCAUCCCGAGCUUCGAGUCCCUUCCUUCAUGACUGCAGACUUUCUCUCCAGAGUCCAAGUGCUGGUGGGAAACAGCAGACCAUACAUGGGUCAGGCAGCCAUCAUCUCUUUCAGCUCUGGGUUAGAACCUGAGAAAGAGAGGCAAAAACAUUCUGUGCCCACGGAUGUUGGAAACCCAGCAUAGACUUGCACUCCUCAAUCAAAAGCACAGAAAAGUCCUUAGGGUUGUUUCUGUAUACGUAGCGCCCUACCUGACUUCUGAGAGACCUUGGUCACCCUCCUCUCUCUUCAGUUUAGGUCUUUGGAGAUGCUGCCAGAAGAAACCAGCUUAACUAAGAGGGGUGGGGAGGUUAGCAUGUGUCAUUUUCUUCGUGGUCCUCAAGUUGGGAAGGGAGGGUUCAGUGUCUGGAAAGAAACAUACAGGGGAGGAAAAUCCAAAGAUUUGCUCCCAAGCCUGAGCGGGUGAUGUGUUGGUGUCAUGCCUGAGCCGCAGAUGGCAGCCAGAGCUCACAGGGGCGGGUGUUCUGUGGGCGUGACUUCUACGUGGAAAUCCCAAUAAAAUGCAGUCUGCUUCCC
This 676-nucleotide long non-coding RNA is filed under the name Rattus norvegicus (Norway rat). RNAcentral describes it as "long non-coding RNA NONRATT012767". The record is from RNAcentral. Lineage: Eukaryota; Metazoa; Chordata; Mammalia; Rodentia; Muridae.